RNAcentral lists this transfer RNA (112 nucleotides) under Aeropyrum pernix. Its description in RNAcentral is "tRNA-Pro". It matches the Rfam family "tRNA". From Rfam's summary of the family: Transfer RNA (tRNA) molecules are approximately 80 nucleotides in length. Lineage: Archaea; Thermoproteati; Thermoproteota; Thermoprotei; Acidilobales; Acidilobaceae. The record is from RNAcentral. RNAcentral also lists the same sequence under 1 other name.
GGGGCCGUCGUCUAGCCUGGCUAGGAUGCCAGCCUGGGGAGCGUAUCCCCACCCCCGCGCUGGGGGGCGCCCGGAUCGCUGGUGGUCCCGGGUUCAAAUCCCGGCGGCCCCA